RNAcentral lists this ribosomal RNA (303 nucleotides) under Triticum aestivum (bread wheat). RNAcentral describes it as "partial small subunit ribosomal RNA". The record is from RNAcentral. Lineage: Eukaryota; Viridiplantae; Streptophyta; Magnoliopsida; Poales; Poaceae.
AUGGAAGAGGAUAAUGGAGACAUGUGGAGGUUAACUGGAAUUUACGGUGAACAAAGUUGGGAUAAUAAAAACCGUGCAUAUCAAUUACUACAGGAUCUUCAUGCCCAAUCCAAGUUGUUGUGGACUGUAAUUGGUGAAUUUAAUGAGAUUCUAUUCUCAUCAGAGAAAGAUGGUGGGGCCCCUGGACAUCAAUCCCAUCUACAAGCUUUUCAGGAUGCCUUGUGUCCGACUGCUCCCUUGAAGACUUGGGUUAUGAGAGAGACAUAUUCACGUGGUUCCGUGGAGUGUUGCGGGAAAGACUAG